Molecule: long non-coding RNA, 1693 nt
Organism: Arachis duranensis
Lineage: Eukaryota; Viridiplantae; Streptophyta; Magnoliopsida; Fabales; Fabaceae
Exons: 2
Source: RefSeq, a predicted model, not a curated record
GAAUUAUUUUUGUGGAUUCUUUUGUCAAGAUGAAGAUUGCUUUUUCUAUGAGCAGCAGCUUCAUCAUAUAUACUUGAGGUUGUUAUUUUGAGCCGCUAGAAAAUGUAGGAACAGCAACAGCAACCACUAGUAAAAUAUGUAGCAUUUAUUCACUUUUGAAUAUCACUAAAUAAAUUAAGUUCAAGUGAAAAAUUUAUUGUAAUAUGAUUUAUGAUAAUGUAGAAUGAAUGUUAUAAAUUGUGAAUUAAUUGAAGAUAUUUGAGGCAACCCGCUAGCUCUUUUUUAUUUGUUUCUUUGUUUCUAUAAUUUUAUUGAUGAUUUAUUAUCUCUUAUCAUUCUGAUUUUGUGACUUUGAUCUUCAGUAUAAGGGUUCUCAUCAAUGGUUUGAUUGUUGUUGUACUUGACUAUUGAAUUCUUUAUCCUGUGCUCAUGUAUCAGAAAUCAUCCUUCAUUAGUACAAGUUCUAUCUAACCAUGCAUGAUUGUUGUGAAAAUAGCAGCUGGUAUUCAAAUCUGUUAUUUACCCAACUUCCUGAUUUCAAGAAGUUCCUGAUUUCAUGUCUUUAAUGAUGAAUUGGUUGACUACUAUGCUAAUAUUUGGUUCUGGUGCUUAUACAUUAUUUUUCAAGCUCUGGAUAUCAAUGACUGGUUGCAUCAAAUAAUAAUUAAUCUCUGGGAUCUGAUGAAUCAUGAACAUGGAUGUGGCUGUACCUGCUCGAAUUUCUUUGCAUGAUAUGGCUGCUCUCUGGGGCCAUAUUGAUAGAUCUUGAUUACUGUCAUAAGUGUCAUCACAAUGGUGAUAUCCGAGUUAGAUCAUGAAUGAUUUUCUAGAUUGCAUAUAUGUCUUUCAUUAAUUGCUUUCUGUCAUUUUCUAGACAUUAUUUAUAACAAAUGCAAUACUCAUAAGACUUAUUUAUUGCAACUAUAUCUAUUUUUAUGUUUGUAUCUCAUUUGGUUAUUAUAAGUUUAUAACACAUUAGUUAUAUGUUUUUAUUAUGUAGUGUAUCCUGAACGAUUUGCAUCCCAUAUUUUUAGAAAAAUGUCAAGUCACAAUCCAUAUUGUCAUGUAUCCAUGUUUCCUGUUGUACCUAUGCUUUCCUAGGUCAUCUCUCAUCUGUACUCGCUACUCAGCACGAAAGGGGAAUGAUGUUAUUGCUAAUGCUUAUAACAUAAGGUGUGAGCUUUCGCCACAUGACAUGGUGUGAGAAAGGUCUUCUUUUGAUGUGACAGAAACCGCCCAAGAAUCUCUGCUAGUUCAAUGGCUUGCCACUACUUUGUUGCUGCAGCAUUCUACUAGUGCUAUUAAAGUAAAUACUUCGGCUUUGGGGUAUGAGGUUUAUUGAAGCGUUUGGUUUCAUGUCAUGCAGGUUUUAUCAGAUGAUAACAUGAAUUUUGGUUCUAAUGCUGUGAAAGGCUGUGGAUGAUAUCAUUGAGGCAAAUGAUGUUAUUGGAGAUGACAAAGGCGAAGUUACAAGUUUGCCAUGGAUUGAGAUGUCUCAUUCUAUCAUAAGAUCUUUUCUAGGUCCUAUGUUUUGAAUGACACACAGAGGAUCUAAAAUGGUUUCUUGCCAUAGAAGUUAUCUGUAAUAUGAUGUGAUUUACUAUUUGCAGAGUACAAAUUGAUUCCUUCAGGCUUCAGGCCACCAUUUUAGGAUCUUCAAUUUGUGAAAUAUAAUUAUGUUUAUGGUUUUUCA